GAUGAACGCUGGCGGCGUGCCUAAUACAUGCAAGUAGAACGCUGAAGGAAGGAGCUUGCUCUUUCCGGAUGAGUUGCGAACGGGUGAGUAACGCGUAGGUAACCUGCCUGGUAGCGGGGGAUAACUAUUGGAAACGAUAGCUAAUACCGCAUAACAGUAGAUGUUGCAUGAUAUCUACUUAAAAGGUGCAAUUGCACCACUACCAGAUGGACCUGCGUUGUAUUAGCUAGUUGGUGAGGUAACGGCUCACCAAGGCGACGAUACAUAGCCGACCUGAGAGGGUGAUCGGCCACACUGGGACUGAGACACGGCCCAGACUCCUACGGGAGGCAGCAGUAGGGAAUCUUCGGCAAUGGACGGAAGUCUGACCGAGCAACGCCGCGUGAGUGAAGAAGGUUUUCGAAUCGUAAAGCUCGGUUGUAAGAGAAGAACGAGUGUGAGAGUGGAAAGUUCACACUGUGACGGUAUCUUACCAGAAAGGGACGGCUAACUACGUG
RNAcentral lists this ribosomal RNA (497 nucleotides) under uncultured bacterium. RNAcentral describes it as "partial 16S ribosomal RNA". It matches the Rfam family "Bacterial small subunit ribosomal RNA", at positions 28 to 507 of the family's 1533-position model. The record is from RNAcentral.